UAUCCGUUGGUGAACCAGCGGAGGGAUCAUUACCGAGUUUACAACUCCCAAACCCAAUGUGGACCAUACCAAACUGUUGCCUCGGCGGGGUCACGCCCCGGGUGCGUCGCAGCCCCGGAACCAGGCGCCCGCCGGAGGGACCAACCAAACUCUUUCUGUAGUCCCCUCGCGGACGUUAUUUUUACAGCUCUGAGCAAAAAUUCAAAAUGAAUCAAAACUUUCAACAACGGAUCUCUUGGUUCU
Molecule: unclassified non-coding RNA, 243 nt
Filed under: plant metagenome
Description: partial contains small subunit ribosomal RNA, internal transcribed spacer 1, and 5.8S ribosomal RNA
Source: RNAcentral